Myotis davidii is the source of this 75-nucleotide non-coding RNA. Lineage: Eukaryota; Metazoa; Chordata; Mammalia; Chiroptera; Vespertilionidae. The record is from Rfam.
GGUGGUUCUCAGGUUAUGAACCCCAGAAUGGGGCUCCUUCCUCUCUGGUUCUGGGUUCAUCACCAGGGAACCACA